AAGCUCUCCCUCUCACGACGGCGUAAAGAUGGUAGUUCUGUCUUUGAUGCAUCACAUUAUGCCUUUUUUGGGAACCAUGUUGUUGAGGAGUUGACAAAUUUGUAUGGCCAGCAAAUACUGGAUUCGAAUGACACAAGGUGGAUAUCUCAGCCUUUUUCUACUCCAGAUCUUAUUGAGCAAAGAAACCUGCACAGAGCAAUUUCAUAUCCUGAACCACAGCAUCACCAGCGGCCACACCAGCAUCAGCAACAAUUUUCCAGCGAACCAAUUAUUCUACCAAAGUCAUCUGGUGGAGACCGCAAGAUCAGC
Brassica napus (rape) is the source of this 309-nucleotide long non-coding RNA. RefSeq lists it as uncharacterized. The record is from RefSeq and is a predicted model, not a curated record. NCBI's taxonomy places the organism in Eukaryota, Viridiplantae, Streptophyta, Magnoliopsida, Brassicales, Brassicaceae. The transcript is spliced from 3 exons.